RNAcentral lists this transfer RNA (72 nucleotides) under Heterocephalus glaber (naked mole-rat). It matches the Rfam family "tRNA". From Rfam's summary of the family: Transfer RNA (tRNA) molecules are approximately 80 nucleotides in length. Their secondary structure includes four short double-helical elements and three loops (D, anti-codon, and T loops). Further hydrogen bonds mediate the characteristic L-shaped molecular structure. tRNAs have two regions of fundamental functional importance: the anti-codon, which is responsible for specific mRNA codon recognition, and the 3' end, to which the tRNAs corresponding amino acid is attached (by aminoacyl-tRNA synthetases). tRNAs cope with the degeneracy of the genetic code in two manners: having more than one tRNA (with a specific anti-codon) for a particular amino acid; and 'wobble' base-pairing, i.e. permitting non-standard base-pairing at the 3rd anti-codon position. The record is from Rfam by way of RNAcentral. Lineage: Eukaryota; Metazoa; Chordata; Mammalia; Rodentia; Bathyergidae.
AGAAAUGUAGCUUAGUGGUAGAGCACUUGCCUUGUAUGCAGGAGACCCUGAUUUUGAUCCCCAGCACUGCCA